Molecule: ribosomal RNA, 494 nt
Filed under: Arthrobacter citreus
Lineage: Bacteria; Bacillati; Actinomycetota; Actinomycetes; Micrococcales; Micrococcaceae
Description: bacterial SSU rRNA
Rfam family: Bacterial small subunit ribosomal RNA
Source: RNAcentral
GAGAUUUAUCCUGGCUCAGGAUGAACGCUGGCGGCGUGCUUAACACAUGCAAGUCGAACGAUGACUUUUGUGCUUGCACAAAAUGAUUAGUGGCGAACGGGUGAGUAACACGUGAGUAACCUGCCCUUAACUUCGGGAUAAGCCUGGGAAACCGGGUCUAAUACCGGAUACGACGGACCACCGCAUGGCGGUCCGUGGAAAGCUUGAUGCGGUUUUGGAUGGACUCGCGGCCUAUCAGCUAGUUGGUUGGGGUAAUGGCCCACCAAGGCGACGACGGGUAGCCGGCCUGAGAGGGUGACCGGCCACACUGGGACUGAGACACGGCCCAGACUCCUACGGGAGGCAGCAGUGGGGAAUAUUGCACAAUGGGCGAAAGCCUGAUGCAGCGACGCCGCGUGAGGGACGAAGGCCUUCGGGUUGUAAACCUCUUUCAGCAGGGAAGAAGCGAAAGUGACGGUACCUGCAGAAGAAGCGCCGGCUAACUACGUGCCACC